UGGUAGAGUGUCAGCUUCCCAAGCUGAAUGUCGCGGGUUCGAGUCCCGUUAUCCGCUCCA
RNAcentral lists this transfer RNA (60 nucleotides) under Cloacimonas sp. (SeqCode). RNAcentral's name for it is "tRNA-Ser". It matches the Rfam family "tRNA", at positions 16 to 71 of the family's 71-position model. Rfam says of the family: Transfer RNA (tRNA) molecules are approximately 80 nucleotides in length. Their secondary structure includes four short double-helical elements and three loops (D, anti-codon, and T loops). The record is from RNAcentral. Lineage: Bacteria; Pseudomonadati; Candidatus Cloacimonadota; Cloacimonadia (SeqCode); Cloacimonadales (SeqCode); Cloacimonadaceae (SeqCode).